GAUUGAGGACGACCUCAUCUUCGGGACAAUCUACUAUCCGGGACGACCUGG
RNAcentral lists this non-coding RNA (51 nucleotides) under Nitrosomonas europaea. RNAcentral's name for it is "Guanidine-II sequence". It matches the Rfam family "Guanidine-II riboswitch aptamer (mini-ykkC)". Rfam says of the family: Simpler in structure and has fewer highly conserved nucleotide positions than the ykkC-yxkD leader. The record is from RNAcentral. Lineage: Bacteria; Pseudomonadati; Pseudomonadota; Betaproteobacteria; Nitrosomonadales; Nitrosomonadaceae. RNAcentral also lists the same sequence under 1 other name.